Molecule: ribosomal RNA, 488 nt
Filed under: uncultured bacterium
Lineage: Bacteria
Description: bacterial SSU rRNA
Rfam family: Bacterial small subunit ribosomal RNA
Source: RNAcentral
GACGAACGCUGGCGGCGUGGAUUAGGCAUGCAAGUCGAACGGUAUCAUCCUUUCGGGGGUGAGAGAGUGGCGAACUGGUGAGUAACACGUAGGUUAUCUACCCUCAAGACGGGGACAACCCAGGGAAACUUGGGCUAAUACCGGAUGUGAGCAACUUUUUAGUUGUUUGAAAGGUGGCGUAAGCUGUCGCUUGGGGAUGAGCCUGCGUCCUAUUAGUUAGUUGGUGAGGUAACGGCUCACCUAGGCAAUGAUAGGUAGGCGGCCUUAACGGGUGGUCGCCCACACUGGGAUUGAGAUACGGCCCAGACUCCUACGGGAGGCAGCAGUCGAGAAUAGUCUACAAUGGUCGGAAGACUGAUAGUGCGACGCCGCGUGAACGAAGAAUCCUUUCGGGGUGUAAAGUUCUUUUCUAUGUGAGCAGUUCCUUUUAUAUGAAGAGUAUAGGAGGCGGGAUUUAAGCAUAGGAAUAAGCAACGGCUAACUCCGUG